AUUGAACGCUGGCGGCAUGCCUUACACAUGCAAGUCGAACGGCAGCACGGGUGCUUGCACCUGGUGGCGAGUGGCGAACGGGUGAGUAGUGCAUCGGAACGUACCCAGUAGUGGGGGAUAACUACCCGAAAGGGUGGCUAAUACCGCAUAUACUGUGCGCAGGAAAGCAGGGGACCGUAAGGCCUUGUGCUACUGGAGCGGCCGAUGUCAGAUUAGCUAGUUGGUGGGGUAAAGGCCUACCAAGGCGACGAUCUGUAGCGGGUCUGAGAGGAUGAUCCGCCACACUGGGACUGAGACACGGCCCAGACUCCUACGGGAGGCAGCAGUGGGGAAUUUUGGACAAUGGGGGCAACCCUGAUCCAGCCAUGCCGCGUGAGUGAAGAAGGCCUUCGGGUUGUAAAGCUCUUUCGGACGGAAAGAAAACGGAUGGGUUAAUACCCUGUUCGGAUGACGGUACCGUCAUAAGAAGCACCGGCUAACUACGUG
This 486-nucleotide ribosomal RNA is filed under the name uncultured organism. RNAcentral describes it as "bacterial SSU rRNA". It matches the Rfam family "Bacterial small subunit ribosomal RNA", at positions 30 to 507 of the family's 1533-position model. The record is from RNAcentral.